GAUAUGCAAAUAUGAAAAAAACUUUAUUUAAGGCAAAGUUAUUGAUAAUACAUUUGUAAAUCUUUCGAAUCCCACAACUGCGGAAGGUCUGCCUCCCGUCGGGGUCCUUCGGAGAUGGAGUUGAUGAUCCCAAUUGGGGGCUGAUCUUCAGGCUGGUCCUCCCUCAUUGGUGGCUCUGGUUGUGGCAGGAUCCUUGGCUGAUCUUUCCUACCUUC
Molecule: long non-coding RNA, 215 nt
Filed under: Elaeis guineensis (African oil palm)
Lineage: Eukaryota; Viridiplantae; Streptophyta; Magnoliopsida; Arecales; Arecaceae
Description: long non-coding RNA (EGUI_LNC082970)
Source: RNAcentral